This 2255-nucleotide ribosomal RNA is filed under the name Campylobacter jejuni. Its description in RNAcentral is "partial 23S ribosomal RNA". It matches the Rfam family "Bacterial large subunit ribosomal RNA", at positions 833 to 2925 of the family's 2925-position model. Lineage: Bacteria; Pseudomonadati; Campylobacterota; Epsilonproteobacteria; Campylobacterales; Campylobacteraceae. The record is from RNAcentral.
UCAAACUUCGUGAUAGCUGGUUCUCUCCGAAAUAUAUUUAGGUAUAGCGUUGUGUCGUAAUAUAAGGGGGUAGAGCACUGAAUGGGCUAGGGCAUACACCAAUGUACCAAACCCUAUCAAACUCCGAAUACCUUAUAUGUAAUCACAGCAGUCAGGCGGCGAGUGAUAAAAUCCGUCGUCAAGAGGGAAACAACCCAGACUACCAGCUAAGGUCCCUAAAUCUUACUUAAGUGGAAAACGAUGUGAAGUUACUUAAACAACCAGGAGGUUGGCUUAGAAGCAGCCAUCCUUUAAAGAAAGCGUAAUAGCUCACUGGUCUAGUGAUUUUGCGCGGAAAAUAUAACGGGGCUAAAGUAAGUACCGAAGCUGUAGACUUGCACACAACUUAGAUUAUUUAAGUUUAGAAUAUUAAGAAACUAAGUUAUAUGUUUUAGUUAUAUUUUUACUGAUUUUUAUAGGGUAAAGAUAGAAAUAAAACUUAGUAAAAUCAGUAAAAAUAUUCUUAGGCUAAAGUUAAGUAGUUUAAGUUGUGUGCAAGUGGUAGGAGAGCGUUCUAUUUGCGCCGAAGGUAUACCGGUAAGGAGUGCUGGAGCGAAUAGAAGUGAGCAUGCAGGCAUGAGUAGCGAUAAUUAAUGUGAGAAUCAUUAACGCCGUAAACCCAAGGUUUCCUACGCGAUGCUCGUCAUCGUAGGGUUAGUCGGGUCCUAAGCCGAGUCCGAAAGGGGUAGGCGAUGGCAAAUUGGUUAAUAUUCCAAUACCAACAUUAGUGUGCGAUGGAAGGACGCUUAGGGCUAAGGGGGCUAGCGGAUGGAAGUGCUAGUCUAAGGUCGUAGGAGGUUAUACAGGCAAAUCCGUAUAACAAUACUCCGAGAACUGAAAGGCUUUUUGAAGUCUUCGGAUGGAUAGAAGAACCCCUGAUGCCGUCGAGCCAAGAAAAGUUUCUAAGUUUAGCUAAUGUUGCCCGUACCGUAAACCGACACAGGUGGGUGGGAUGAGUAUUCUAAGGCGCGUGGAAGAACUCUCUUUAAGGAACUCUGCAAAAUAGCACCGUAUCUUCGGUAUAAGGUGUGGUUCGCUUCGUACUAGGAUUUACUCCGAAAGCGAAGAAACUUACAACAAAGAGUCCCUCCCGACUGUUUACCAAAAACACAGCACUCUGCUAACUCGUAAGAGGAUGUAUAGGGUGUGACGCCUGCCCGGUGCUCGAAGGUUAAUUGAUGGGGUUAGCAUUAGCGAAGCUCUUGAUCGAAGCCCGAGUAAACGGCGGCCGUAACUAUAACGGUCCUAAGGUAGCGAAAUUCCUUGUCGGUUAAAUACCGACCUGCAUGAAUGGCGUAACGAGAUGGGAGCUGUCUCAAAGAGGGAUCCAGUGAAAUUGUAGUGGAGGUGAAAAUUCCUCCUACCCGCGGCAAGACGGAAAGACCCCGUGGACCUUUACUACAGCUUGACACUGCUACUUGGAUAAGAAUGUGCAGGAUAGGUGGGAGGCUUUGAGUAUAUGACGCCAGUUGUAUAUGAGCCAUUGUUGAGAUACCACUCUUUCUUAUUUGGGUAGCUAACCAGCUUGAGUUAUCCUCAAGUGGGACAAUGUCUGGUGGGUAGUUUGACUGGGGCGGUCGCCUCCCAAAUAAUAACGGAGGCUUACAAAGGUUGGCUCAGAACGGUUGGAAAUCGUUCGUAGAGUAUAAAGGUAUAAGCCAGCUUAACUGCAAGACAUACAAGUCAAGCAGAGACGAAAGUCGGUCUUAGUGAUCCGGUGGUUCUGUGUGGAAGGGCCAUCGCUCAAAGGAUAAAAGGUACCCCGGGGAUAACAGGCUGAUCUCCCCCAAGAGCUCACAUCGACGGGGAGGUUUGGCACCUCGAUGUCGGCUCAUCGCAUCCUGGGGCUGGAGCAGGUCCCAAGGGUAUGGCUGUUCGCCAUUUAAAGCGGUACGCGAGCUGGGUUCAGAACGUCGUGAGACAGUUCGGUCCCUAUCUGCCGUGGGCGUAAGAAGAUUGAAGAGAUUUGACCCUAGUACGAGAGGACCGGGUUGAACAAACCACUGGUGUAGCUGUUGUUCUGCCAAGAGCAUCGCAGCGUAGCUAAGUUUGGAAAGGAUAAACGCUGAAAGCAUCUAAGCGUGAAGCCAACUCUAAGAUGAAUCUUCUCUAAGCUCUCUAGAAGACUACUAGUUUGAUAGGCUGGGUGUGUAAUGGAUGAAAGUCCUUUAGCUGACCAGUACUAAUAGAGCGUUUGGCUUAUCUUUAUAAAGCAU